This is a long non-coding RNA of Tribolium castaneum (red flour beetle), 988 nucleotides long. RefSeq lists it as uncharacterized. The transcript has 2 exons. The record is from RefSeq and is a predicted model, not a curated record. NCBI's taxonomy places the organism in Eukaryota, Metazoa, Arthropoda, Insecta, Coleoptera, Tenebrionidae.
AUCGAGCCCCUCUCCAGGGUUGGACACUGGUGUUAUUGAUGGAAUUUAGCGGUAAUUUUGGUGGCCUGGUGGUCUGUCGUGGUGUCUGCCGUCCGUGCUAUGUGUUGAUUUAAUGACUCAAUGAUAAGAAAAGUUGAGGUCAGUCGAAUGACACAAACGGAACAUCAGACCAUUUGAGGGACAAUUUACUUAAAUUUUGAAAGGACUAGGCAUUGUUGGUAACAGUGAUAAAGUUCUAGACUCGACCAACACUGAACAGAAAACAUUCAAUAGUUAUUUAUUCGACGAGUUUGAGUGUAUAUCGGACGCUUUAUUUCACGAAUGGAUUUUUAAACCAGGGGUGAAAACGAGUUCUUCAAUUCAAACUGUGGCUAGUAAGGAUAAUCAUCUGAAAAUUUGUAUACAACCAUAAUCUCUCAAUAAAAAUAUUUUCAAGUUGGUGCCACUUUCGGUUAUACCGGAAGUCGCCAUCAACUUACUUAUUUUAAAAUGAAAGGUAUAUUUUUUAAUGCCUUUUUGUAUUACAGAGUUAUUUUAGUUAGUUUUUAUAAGCUUUUCUAUACCUAAAUUUAUCCGUUUACAAAAUAUUUAGAGUUUUUCUUUUUUUUGGAUUUGCACUUUCCAAUUUAAAAAUCGAUAACUCUGUCAUUUCGCAUUUGAUAUUUAAUCAAGGCCAAUUUUAUAGCGGUGGACUGGUAUUGAGAGAAAAUACGACGUUGGCGUUUUUAAUACAUGGACGCCAUGUUUGUUACUUCUAUUUAUAAGAAGCCUUUUUGUUCCUUAUUACAACGAUGUAUCAGAAAUGAUCUAACCUCAGAUGUUGGUAAAAUUAAGAAAAACGCGUUUUUGCAAAGAGUGCUUUGGAAAAACUCCAAAAAUUUUGUUUAACAAACUAAAUUUUAACAGUUCUAUUAAAUGUGGGAGCAGAAUGUUUUGUAACUUUGCCUUAUUUUGUUUUGUGAAGAAUAAAAUUCUUGCUUAUAAUGUC